AUGACUUUUAGACCACUUGGAUGCACUUCCCCAAUACAGUUUCCUCUAAGUCACAUGGGGCCCAUGGGAAAGAGGUAGAUACCUGAAUUAAGUCAGGAUCCUAUUAAUGAGGGAGAAAGAUGGAUGAGGUGCUUGGUUAGGCAACCAAAGGUAUUCAAGUUUACCCAGAUAACAAGAGAUAAAGCCAAGAUACAUGUCCAAGCCAUAGGACUCAAGACACUCCCAUCACUGCACAGUAUAGUAUAAGGUAGAGUGUGUAGGGCUGGUACUAGGACCCAGGUCUGUUCAUUGCCAGUUUGCCUGUGUAUGUCUAGAAGGCAGCUUGGAUCCUAGAUUGGGGAAUACAGGUCCUAGUUGCUGGGGUCACCAGAUCUUACAAGCUGGCAUUUCACAAGGAGUAUGGGUUGCAGACAAGUUCUAAUUUUUUUUCCAAUUUCUUUUUCCCUUGUGGCAAUAUAAUUUUAGUCUUACGUUUAUGCACAGGCAUCUGCAAGUCCACAGCUCUGAUUAUUAUCAGUUCAUACAGAAGUUUGCAGACCUUCCAUUAGAAAUGACAGUUUCACUACCGCCAUUAUUGAGGUUGUGCUAAACAAAAGAUACAUUGCUUAAUAAUGCUCAGAUUUUUUAUUUUGUUACAUGACAUUAUAUUGAUCAAAUCUAGAGUCAGCCACAGUCACAUCGACAUUUUUUAAUGUUACUGCUAACUUACUGGAAAGAGUCUAAAUUAAAGAAAUAUUGUUUGGACGUUAGCACAAUCUGUUGCUUAAUUUUUUUUCACUAUUGGACAGACUUGGGCAUCUUCUGUAGUGUUUUAAGACAUUCCAAACCAAGGACAGGGUCUAGAUUUAUUCUUAGUGGUGAAUUCUGGGUUUCAAAGGCUACCCACAUAGAAGGAUCUCCCACAUACCCCUCAAAUAAAUUUCUUCCUUAGAUUUCCCUCCCUCCCUCCCUUCCUUCCUUCCCACUGGAAUUCCUAAAUGGUUAUGUGAGAUUUAAGCAGUUUGUCACUUACAUUUUACUUAUUUCUUGAAGAGUAUCUCAUUUUGUAAGUAUUGCAAAACUGCUAAAGUCAUUCUUUUGGGCUGGAGUAGGAAAAGAGAUGAAAGAGGUGAGGGUGUGGAAAGCAAAUCCCGUUGUCAGGAUCUUAACAAUAACUGUUAUUUAACUUAAUUUGAUGCCCUGAGGUAGAACAUCUCACUUUUCUGCUCAUCACAGCAGGAAACAUUCCCAUAGAUAUUCUGAUUCUGACCUAGAGUGUUGUAGGGGUUAUAAAGCAUGUAAAAGGGGCAAUUCCAAGGAAGCCCUGUUUGUAUUGCCUAGAAAUGAACAUGGUGGGACCUUUGUGUAUGGGGAAGAAACAAGGGAUUUGGGGUAUCAGAGGGACAUGGAUAAUCUGGGCUGGGAUAUUUGGGGCCAUUAAGAAUUGCCAGGAUCACUGGGGUGAUUCAGGCCCUGAGUACCUAGGGCAGAGCUUCUUAGGGCCUGGAACUUCCUUAGAGCAUGGAUUUCAUCCUCAGCACAUGCACGAAUGCUUUACAGGAGAUCCCAUCUAAGCAGAAGCCAUCGACCUGUAACCCAGUUUUUAAGAUCCAGAGCACCUGGAAAGGUGUGCAGUUACUUAAUAACCCUGUGUUAGUAAUCAUGGUCAACAGCACAUUUUGAGGCCAGAGCAUGGUGCAAAAUAUUUCUUCCAUUUCUUUUGGGUUCAUUUCAGACCAAACUGAGUUAGUCUUAGAAAGAUACCUGGACAUCUUUUUCUCUAGUCUCCCAGUUUUGUCCUUCCCUUGUCUUGGGGAAACCGCUUCCAUCCUGCAGGUUACCCCCAACAGGUCACUCUAGGUAGGUUUCACCUGGGGAUGGUGACAUGAGUAUUUUACAGUCCUUCCUUUAGUGUUUUCUUAGGAAUUCAGAUUCUUUAGGGAAGCACAUUUAUAAGACAAAGUCUUCUAUUGCUACCCUUAAUCACUUUUCAUAAAUUGUUUUAAUGCUUGUUAUGAUCAAAGAUUCCUUCCUAGCAGAGGUGGGGGUGAGGAGGAAGAGGACAGACAAUGAGAUGUUCUGAUAUUUACACCAUAGCCGUCCACAGGGCAGGACCUUCUCGAGGGGCCAUAUCCAGUUGCUUCGAGACUUGUGAGGAGGGGACUGAGGAGUUGAAAGAUACAUAAAGUCUGACUAUGAGUAGUCACCCUGUUAAGUGGAAGCAUAUAUGGGGUCAACCUUAUGGCAGUGGUAUGGGAUUGUAACAAAAUAGUCUCUCCAUCUACGGUACCAGUUGGGGCACAAGGGCUUUCUUUUUAGAUACUUGAACCAGUCAAGCUCUUAUCUAAAGUAAACUGUCCUUUCUGCCUUUUAAAAUGCUUGGGUUUUCUUUCAUGGAUUUCCAUUAAUAUACAUACUUGGGUAGAGAAAGAUUGCCUCUUAUAUCUACGGAGUCAUUUGUAUAACAGAAACUGAAAUUCAGACCAUCUCAUGAGGUGUAUAAAUAUGACCAGAAGCUAAAAAGCAUUGGGAGCAUCUAAUAAAUAUAAUGUUAUUUUGUUGUUGUUGUUGUAGCAACAUUAUUUUAAAUACAAAUUCUGUUGAGAGUGACUAGAUUUAUAAAUCUAUUUAAGCUGCUCAGACAAAAGGAAAAUUUAAAGAGCUAUGGUCAGGAAGGCUGAAAUGGAUUUGAGCUUGGUGACACCAAACUUUUAUCUGUUGACCUCUUUUCUCAACAUCUACAGGCAAACACUCACUCAUUUGAAACUUUGGUUUUAAAGAUUUCAAAGGAAGGAGCUGAGAUAAAAGUAAGCAGAAGGUAUGGGUUUCUUGAACUUUAUUUUCUGUAAGCUUAACACUCAAAAGAAAAAAUAUAUGGGCAUUAAUUUGAUGGUCAUACACAGGAAAGGGGUACUUUCCGUUGUGAGGCAGUAUAUCAUGGAGGCUGCGAGUGAAGGCUUGGGAGCCAAACUCCCUGGGUUCAUAUCCCAGUUUUGCCACUUGUUAGCUGUGUGGCUUUACGCAUGUCACUUAACCUCUCUGUGUUUCAAUUUCCAUUCUUUGAUAGCUUGGCUAUCAGGAUGGCAAUGUGCCGAUGGCAUAUGCCUUUUCUACCAAACACUUUAUUGAUUAUGAGUGCAUAAUAAAUGCAAAGCUUGUAAUUAAUGCGUUAUCAGUAUUUGCAUCUUCAAGUUGGCAGUAACCACUCGUCCUUGCUGUAAUAAGGAGAUAUACUGGAAAACCAGGGGAAGCUCAACAGAAUCGAAGGGAGGCAGGAAAGCCACAUCUGGGAAAAGGACAGGAAUCAAGGAUGUCUUGAGCAGCAGGCAACAAGAGCCACACCCAGGUCACUCCUGGCACUGGCCGGGCGUUCAGAGCUUCUGCGCUACCGGGAAUGCUCCAACGCUUGUUCUCUUGGGUCACUUUCUCUGGGGGAAGCCAGACCAGUGUUGUAAGGACACACAAGCAGCCCACAUCGAAAAGAGCUGAGGGUGCCCAGCAAGAGCCAACACUACUUAUCAGCCAUCUAAGUGAGCGACCUUGGAAGUGAAUCCUUUGGUUCCAUUCAAACCUUCAGGUGACUAUGGCCUUGCCUGACACCCUACUGUAACCUCAUGAGAAACCCCAGGCCAGAAUCACCAAGUGCUACCAAACUCUUGAGUCUUUGAGAGUGUCUCAAACUGUGAGAGAGAACUAAUGUUUGUGUCAUCUUAAGCCACUAUGUUUUGGGCAAUUUUUUACACAGCAGUAGAUAAACUGGGUUUCUUUACAAGCUGCACCAUAUAGGCUAUGGGUAAUCUUAAUCAAAUACAGAGAGGAGUUAGGGACUUAAAGGAGCAUCUCAAGCAAUUGUUUAUUGUUGUUUGGUUUUUGCUUUCCAACUAAGGAAACUGAAUUUCAAGUCAGCGUUCUGAAGCUUUGUACAAUAUUACUUUUGAAAUGUGUUUUGUUCUUAAUGCUUUCCGAAAUGACCUGUUGUCCGUAGAAGAGAGAGCACUCCCUACUGAGCGCAUCUGCAACUCUGGACAAGGCCGCUUGAGCUGGAAUUCCCUCUGGCACCGUUAAGUCAUCUCAGCCCUUUAGACCCCACUUUCACUGCUCCCUCUCAUUCUUUUGGGUUUCUGGGCCAUCGCAUCUUUUCCCUUUGGGAAAACAAGGACAGGGGAAAAUAAAUUAAUUAGGAAGGGAGGGGGGCUAGAUACCCACUGGAUGUUGGGGUGGAGAUCUUAAUAGCGUUUGCGAAACACCAGCCCCAACACCCCUUGGGAGACUGAGCCAUAACCCCUUCCCUUGGUGUCCCCGCCCGCAAAAUUCGCUCCUAGAAAAAUCCUCUCACGUCCCCAAGAGCGCAGGAGAGGAUCUCAGCGCAGCGCGAGGCUCUUGUGCUUGUUGGGAGAGGCGGAGCUGGGUUAACCAGCUCCUUGGCGCGUUUCCUCUGAGCUGGGGGAGGCCGAGCACGGACCGCGGAGUAGGCGCCCAACGUGGGGCGCCCGUAAGCGGGCGGAGGAGACCCGAAGGUGGGCGAGCGGGCUGCAAGCCUUGCCCGGCAGCUGCUCUCCGCGCCGAGCGCGCACUGCCACCGAGCGCCGGCGCCUCCAGGAUGGAGUGGGAGCUCAACUUUCUGCUCUACCUGGCGCUCUUCUUCUUCCUGCUCUUCUUACUUUUCCUCCUGCUCUUCGUGGUCAUCAAGCAGCUGAAGAACUCUGUGGCCAGCACGGCGGGGGCGCUCCAGCCCGGGCGUCUCUCCGUGCACCGGGAGCCUUGGGGCUUCUCCCGCGAGCAAGCCGUGUGACCCGCAAGGCGCGGGCACUAGCGGCAGGGCACCGAGCUGCGCGGGAGCCCGGCUGGAUCUCAGCCUCGAUUCUCUGUCCCCGUGGCCGCCCAGGUUCCAGUGCCAGGCUCGGUUGUAGCCCUGGCAGGUUCGUUCGGGUGUGGAAGGGGUCGGCGGAGGGGCGAGUUUCUCCGCCCCUCGGGGAGGUUCUGGGCUCGAAGUAGGCUUGGGUGCCAGGCGGGUGUAUGGGGUCCUGGGCUGGCGCUUUGCUUUUAGGGACGAACACUCAGCUUUUCCCGGGUGGGGAGAGAUGAAGAAAGAAAGACGUUCAGCCGUUGGAGCCGGAAUGACUUUGGGCACCUGCAAGCUCUUCUUCCCAGUUCCAAUGCAUUUUAGCUUGUGCGGAAUGGAUGGAAAACUAAAUCAUUCAGAUAAUUCAAUCCAACCACUUUCAAGCCGAAUUUGAUUAAAAAAAUCGAAUGUCAACCUUAAUGUCCAAGUCACUGGGAGAGUGUGGGGUUUGGGACAGGAAGCAGGAAGAAACUGCGCUCUUGAAGUAUUCCAAAGACUGCUUUAAAUAUCUUUGCGCUUUGGUAGACACUAAGUGGGCUUCAUCUGACAGUGGCAAGGAGGAUUCAGUGGCCCUUCUUCCCUUUAAUCCCUACUCCUCUUCUAGCCACAGACCCCAUUGAUGCCGGCAGAGUUGCCACACCAGGUGGGUUUUGAAUCUCAAAUGGCUGGAGGGUAAGCAUUAGAGAGUCAUUUGGGAGAUGACUUGGGGGUGAUGAAAACAGGUACUGUUCACACGUUGUAGGGCAACAGGAAAAGAGGAGCAAGGCUGUCCUUUCAGGUUACAUGACUAGGCCAUUUGCCAGAAAUCAGUGGGCAGCAUUAAACUUAUUAUGUGCCCUAAGCACCCUCCAGGCACUGUCAGUUUGGGGGAAUAACGGUUUCAUCUUCCAGAUGCUUUUUCCUCGAUUUACAUCGUCUCAAGUUCUGGAACCAGGUGUUGCCCAGGGUUGGUGUGCUGAAGACCCCCCAGUGCAGUUACGGUUGGUAAGAGGCAGCCCUGCACAGAGAGGAUGGGGACAACCCAAGAGGGACCUCUGCUGUAAAUGAUUUUUGGUGGAGUCUAGUUUGUGUUUGAUCCCGAGAAAAGGAUCCUGCCUUUCGUACAUAGGAAAAGGUAAUCUAUGUAAAGAAAGGCUACUUUACUCCUUUCUGUGAUUCCACCACUCAUCUAGGAAUAUCCUGGGAGAAGACUUGCUUCUCAAAGCUGCUUCCAUAAUCAGCCUACAUCCUGCCUAAGCAAAGGAAGAAGAAACACUUCCCACAUCCAGGGCUGUCC
Mustela erminea (ermine) is the source of this 6098-nucleotide long non-coding RNA. RefSeq lists it as uncharacterized. The record is from RefSeq and is a predicted model, not a curated record. The transcript is spliced from 2 exons. Lineage: Eukaryota; Metazoa; Chordata; Mammalia; Carnivora; Mustelidae.